This 261-nucleotide ribosomal RNA is filed under the name uncultured prokaryote. RNAcentral describes it as "partial 16S ribosomal RNA". It matches the Rfam family "Bacterial small subunit ribosomal RNA", at positions 524 to 784 of the family's 1533-position model. The record is from RNAcentral.
UACGUAGGGUGCGAGCGUUAAUCAGAAUUACUGGGCGUAAAGCGUGCGCAGGCGGUUUGCUAAGACAGGUGUGAAAUCCCCGGGCUUAACCUGGGAACUGCGCUUGUGACUGGCAGGCUAGAGUACGGUAGAGGGGGGUGGAAUUCCUGGUGUAGCAGUGAAAUGCGUAGAUAUCAGGAGGAACACCGAUGGCGAAGGCAGCCCCCUGGGCCUGUACUGACGCUCAUGCACGAAAGCGUGGGGAGCAAACAGGAUUAGAUA